This 500-nucleotide ribosomal RNA is filed under the name uncultured bacterium. RNAcentral describes it as "partial 16S ribosomal RNA". It matches the Rfam family "Bacterial small subunit ribosomal RNA", at positions 30 to 523 of the family's 1533-position model. The record is from RNAcentral.
AUUGAACGCUGGCGGCAUGCCUUACACAUGCAAGUCGAACGGCAGCACGGGAGCAAUCCUGGUGGCGAGUGGCGAACGGGUGAGUAAUAUAUCGGAACGUGCCCAGUCGUGGGGGAUAACGUAGCGAAAGCUACGCUAAUACCGCAUACGAUCUAUGGAUGAAAGCGGGGGACCGCAAGACCUCGCGCGAUUGGAGCGGCCGAUAUCAGAUUAGGUAGUUGGUGAGGUAAAGGCUCACCAAGCCGACGAUCUGUAGCUGGUCUGAGAGGACGACCAGCCACACUGGGACUGAGACACGGCCCAGACUCCUACGGGAGGCAGCAGUGGGGGAUUUUGGACAAUGGGCGCAAGCCUGAUCCAGCAAUGCCGCGUGCAGGAUGAAGACCUUCGGGUUGUAAACUGCUUUUGUACGGAACGAAACGGCGAGCUCUAAUACAGUUUGCUAAUGACGGUACCGUAAGAAUAAGCACCGGCUAACUACGUGCCAGCCGCCGCCGUAA